GAUUUCAUCAAACUUCUUACUAAUUCUUGUUAUAAGAUCCUUCCAUUACUACAUCUAAGUGAAUUAGGUAUAGCAUGAUUUAGUCACCAAAAUAUAUCAAACUGGGUAAAACUUUUAAUGCAUUCUCUACUUAUGUUGCCAAAGAUGUGAACAUUAGGUAAAAUGCCUCUCUGUGCAAGUAUAUAGGUUAGACUCACAUCAUAAUGCUCGAUAAUGAGGGAAGAAGCCCCAAUAGAAAUAUUGAAAGGGAAAAAUGCUUCGACUGUUGUGUUCCUAGAUGAAUCAUCAAGUCCAAGAAGACUCCUAAUUUCCAUUGGAGGUCUUACUUUGGCUACGUUAUGGUGAAUUAAUAUAUUUGUAAACCAUGAUAUAUCGAGUCCAUAUCUCUUGCAGAUCAUUCCCAUUUUGAAAUAGUGAUUCAACGAUUACAAGCUGCUGCUCAGGCAGAGAAGAAUUCUGAUGGAGACAUGGCUUCAGUUGCUAUGACAGAUGAGGAAGAGGUAACUCAUGAAGAAAAUGAAGAAGUAGCAAAAUCAGACCAGAAAGUAGAA
Molecule: long non-coding RNA, 551 nt
Organism: Telopea speciosissima
Lineage: Eukaryota; Viridiplantae; Streptophyta; Magnoliopsida; Proteales; Proteaceae
Exons: 2
Source: RefSeq, a predicted model, not a curated record